UGGGGAAUUUUGGACAAUGGGCGCAAGCCUGAUCCAGCCAUGCCGCGUGCGGGAAGAAGGCCUUCGGGUUGUAAACCGCUUUUGUCAGGGAAGAAAAGGUUCUGGCUAAUACCUGGGACUCAUGACGGUACCUGAAGAAUAAGCACCGGCUAACUACGUGCCAGCAGCCGCGGUAAUACGUAGGGUGCAAGCGUUAAUCGGAAUUACUGGGCGUAAAGCGUGCGCAGGCGGUUAUGCAAGACAGAGGUGAAAUCCCCGGCGUCACCUAGGCAACUGGCCAUUGUGCAUCUGCAUAGCUAGAGUGCGGCAGAGGGGGGAUGGAAUUCCGCGUGUAGCAGUGAAAUGCGUUAGAUAUGCGGAGGAACACCGAUGGCGAAGGC
RNAcentral lists this ribosomal RNA (380 nucleotides) under uncultured Roseateles sp. Its description in RNAcentral is "bacterial SSU rRNA". It matches the Rfam family "Bacterial small subunit ribosomal RNA", at positions 355 to 722 of the family's 1533-position model. The record is from RNAcentral. Lineage: Bacteria; Pseudomonadati; Pseudomonadota; Betaproteobacteria; Burkholderiales; Sphaerotilaceae.